This 253-nucleotide ribosomal RNA is filed under the name uncultured bacterium. Its description in RNAcentral is "partial 16S ribosomal RNA". It matches the Rfam family "Bacterial small subunit ribosomal RNA", at positions 524 to 776 of the family's 1533-position model. The record is from RNAcentral.
UACAGAGGUGGCAAGCGUUGUUCGGAAUUACUGGGCGUAAAGGGCGCGUAGGCGGCCGCCUAAGUCAGACGUGAAAUCCCCAAGCUUAACUUGGGAACUGCGUCUGAUACUGGGUGGCUUGAGUUCGGGAGAGGAAUGUGGAAUUCCAGGUGUAGCGGUGAAAUGCGUAGAUAUCUGGAGGAACACCGGUGGCGAAGGCGGCAUUCUGGACCGAAACUGACGCUGAUGCGCGAAAGCCAGGGGAGCAAACGGG